This is a long non-coding RNA of Helianthus annuus (common sunflower), 820 nucleotides long. RefSeq lists it as uncharacterized. Lineage: Eukaryota; Viridiplantae; Streptophyta; Magnoliopsida; Asterales; Asteraceae. The record is from RefSeq and is a predicted model, not a curated record. The transcript is spliced from 3 exons.
CAAAUAACCAGAUCCAUCAUCAUCUUCUUCAAAUAACCCAGAUCCAUCAUCAUCAUCUUCUUCAAAUAACCUAGAUCCAUCAGCAUCAUCUUCAAAUAACCCAGAUCCACUUCUACGAUUCUUCUUCUCUAGUCACUGAAAUUAAACAUUCUAGCUUGACCUGCUCGAUUUGGAAAGCUGGCCUGCUCGAUUGCUUCCUAAUCUUCAGGGGAAGCUUCAGCACCACGAUCAAGAGGAGCAAUGGCGUCAAGAAGCUCCUGUUUAAUGGAGCUUGCAAAGAACACUUAAAACCAAUAAACAAACCACCACAACCACUUCCAUCGGCUUAAUUCCAUGGCCUUAUCCACUCCCUCAACCACCGUAACCACUCCUCCUCACCACCUCCCACAACUCUUCCACCCUCACUCCUCCCUCUCCGGUGUAAGUUUUCCGACGAAACGCAGCACCGGCGGGCAGCAGCUGACGCUGUGGGUGAUGGUUCUGUCGGAAUGUGGUGAUGUAGAUGGAGAUGGUGUUCGAUGUCGGAGGUGAUGCACGGUGGUUGUUCAGAGGUGGUUGGAGAAGAAAAGUGCAAUUAAUACACACCAUUUCCAUAUAUCUUCUCCCCCACAACGUGUUCUCCCCCAAAACCUAGUGAGAGGCUUUGUUCUCUCUCACACAAAAAGCUUUGAUUCUUCAUCUCAGGAAUUCAAGAAUAUCAUCAGAACAUAUUUCCAGGAAGCAUAUAGAAAAACCUAAGUUUACAAAGUAAUUUGAUGUGAAGCUACUAGAAGCCAGCUAUGGAGCAAUAAAGACUUAAAUAAAGUGGCUAUAAGUUACC